Molecule: ribosomal RNA, 427 nt
Filed under: uncultured bacterium
Lineage: Bacteria
Description: partial 16S ribosomal RNA
Rfam family: Bacterial small subunit ribosomal RNA
Source: RNAcentral
UGGGGAAUAUUGGACAAUGGGCGAAAGCCUGAUCCAGCCAUGCCGCGUGUGUGAAGAAGGUCUUCGGAUUGUAAAGCACUUUAAGUUGGGAGGAAGGGCAUUAACCUAAUACGUUAGUGUUUUGACGUUACCGACAGAAUAAGCACCGGCUAACUCUGUGCCAGCAGCCGCGGUAAUACAGAGGGUGCAAGCGUUAAUCGGAAUUACUGGGCGUAAAGCGCGCGUAGGUGGUUUGUUAAGUUGGAUGUGAAAUCCCCGGGCUCAACCUGGGAACUGCAUUCAAAACUGACUGACUAGAGUAUGGUAGAGGGUGGUGGAAUUUCCUGUGUAGCGGUGAAAUGCGUAGAUAUAGGAAGGAACACCAGUGGCGAAGGCGACCACCUGGACUAAUACCGACACUGAGGUGCGAAAGCGUGGGGAGCAAACA